AUAACUAUUAGAAAUGAUAGCUAAUACCGGAUUAAAUACAGAUUCGUUUCUGUAUUAAAAGGAGCCUUUAAAGCUUCGCUUAAAGAUGGGCCUGCGGCGUAUUAGCUAGUUGGUGAGGUAAUGGCUUACCAAGGCGACGAUGCGUAGCCGAACUGAGAGGUUGAUCGGCCACAUUGGGACUGAGACACGGCCCAAACUCCUACGGGAGACAGCAGUUAGGAAUAUUCGUCAAUGGGGGAAACCCUGAACGAGCAAUGCCGCGUGAACGAUGAAGGCCCUAUGGGUUGUAAAGUUCUGUUGCAUGGGACGAACGAUUAGGAUAGGAAAUGAUCUUAAUGUGACGGUACCAUGCCAGAAAGCUCCGGCUAACUACGUGCCAGCAGCCGCGGUAAUACGUAGGGAGCAAGCGUUAUCCGGAUUUAUUGGGCGUAAAGGGUGCGUAGGCGGCUUGUUAAGUAUGAGAUUAAAGCCCGAGGCUUAACCUCGGUUCGUUUCAUAAACUGGCAGGCUUGAGUGUGGCAGAGGUAAACGGAAUUUCUAGUGUAGCGGUUAAAUGCGUAGAUAUUAGAAGGAACACCAGUGGCGAAGGCGGUUUACUGGGCCAUAACUGACGCUGAGGCACGAAAGCGUGGGGAGCAAAUAGGAUUAGAUACCCUAGUAGUCCACGCCGU
This 671-nucleotide ribosomal RNA is filed under the name uncultured bacterium. Its description in RNAcentral is "bacterial SSU rRNA". It matches the Rfam family "Bacterial small subunit ribosomal RNA", at positions 143 to 803 of the family's 1533-position model. The record is from RNAcentral.